UACGGGGGGUGCGAGCGUUGUCCGGAAUUACUGGGCGUAAAGGGCUCGUAGGCGGCCAACUAAGUCACACGUGAAAUCCCCAGGCUUAACCUGGGAACUGCGUGUGAUACUGGAUGGCUUGAAUUCGGGAGAGGGAUGCAGAAUUCCAGGUGUAGCGGUGAAAUGCGUAGAUAUCUGGAGGAAUACCGGUGGCGAAGGCGGCAUCCUGGACCGACAUUGACGCUGAGGAGCGAAAGCUAGGGGAGCAAACGGG
Molecule: ribosomal RNA, 253 nt
Filed under: uncultured bacterium
Lineage: Bacteria
Description: partial 16S ribosomal RNA
Rfam family: Bacterial small subunit ribosomal RNA
Source: RNAcentral